This 402-nucleotide ribosomal RNA is filed under the name uncultured bacterium. Its description in RNAcentral is "bacterial SSU rRNA". It matches the Rfam family "Bacterial small subunit ribosomal RNA", at positions 28 to 412 of the family's 1533-position model. The record is from RNAcentral.
GAUGAACGCUGGCGGCGUGCCUAACACAUGCAAGUCGAACGGAGUCAUUUUGGAAAGUUCUUCGGAACUGGAAUUCUUGACUUAGUGGCGGACGGGUGAGUAACGCGUGAGCAAUCUGCCCUUAGGUGGGGGAUAACAGCCGGAAACGGCUGCUAAUACCGCAUAAUGCAGCGGAACCGCAUGGUUUUGCUGCCAAAGAUUUAUUGCCUUUGGAUGAGCUCGCGUCUGAUUAGCUAGUUGGCGGGGUAACGGCCCACCAAGGCGACGAUCAGUAGCCGGACUGAGAGGUUGAACGGCCACAUUGGGACUGAGACACGGGCCCAGACUCCUACGGGAGGCAGCAGUGGGGAAUAUUGCGCAAUGGGGGGAACCCUGACGCAGCAACGCCGCGUGAUUGAAGAA